AUCUGGAUGAUGAGUCCCAAAUAGGACGAAACGCACUUCGUCCUGUAU
Molecule: non-coding RNA, 48 nt
Filed under: Schistosoma mattheei
Lineage: Eukaryota; Metazoa; Platyhelminthes; Trematoda; Strigeidida; Schistosomatidae
Source: RNAcentral